Molecule: long non-coding RNA, 1053 nt
Organism: Chelonia mydas (Green sea turtle)
Lineage: Eukaryota; Metazoa; Chordata; Testudines; Cheloniidae
Exons: 2
Source: RefSeq, a predicted model, not a curated record
GAUUGUUUAUUUCUAUUUUGCUCUUCCAGGCUUGUUGCGGUGGAGAAAGCCCUUGCUUCAGUGAUCCUGACAUGAGUUCUGGUCCUUUCCCACGGGCCAUAACCUUGGGGUUCUGGCUGGCCGUGCAAAGUAGGCAGGAUUAGUGCAUCUUUGCAAGCCCAAACUCGCAGCUCGAACCGAUCCUUCCACUUGCUGCACACAAGACCAGAUUUUUGUUCUAAAUUAAAUUCUUCUUCUCCUCAUCCUUAUUGCCAGCUGAGCCGAUCACUGUAGUUUUUUCAGGGGUAUCCGGAUUGUGUCAAUGCAGUGUGGUGUGUGACCAAUGUGUCUCUUUUAGCUGAGAGUAACUUUGUUUUGAACAAUGGGAUCCUACCUCUGAAGGGUUUUUUUUUUUUUUAUGCUCUUUAAUACAGAGAGAGAGAGAGAGCAGGACUAUUAUUAAAUAGAAUACCUGUGUGAAUAUGUGUGUGUAUGCAUGCAUUAGCUCUGUGUGUGUAAAACAUGUCAAGUCUAAUUUACAUAAAUGUAUCAACAUAAUAUUUUUAUAAUAUAACUUUUAAACCAAGAUGUUGACUACGGUUGCCAUUUUGCCAGCAAUACUGUAUGUAUUUUACUUUUGAAUUAUGUACAGUCAGACACCUGUUACUUAAUCCUGUUUAUCUUUGUCAGUUAUUGUUAUCCAACCUUAGUCAUCAUUUUAUCUCUGAAAAUAAAAUACAAAUAUGGUUCUUCUAAAAAUGAUGCUAUGCUGGUAUACAGUAAGAACAGGAGAGACUAAUGGAGAUCUCAAGUAAUAUUUUUCCAAAGAGAGUAAUUCUGGAAAAUACCUGGAAAAAAAAAUCUUUCUCUCAGAGAGAGGAAAGCACCUAGAGGGAAAAGAGAUAAAGACAGAAGAAAGGGUAAAGAGAGAAAUUCCAUAUCGGCUUCCCUUACAAAUGCAGGAAAGACGAACCUAUUUGCUGUGUAUCUCAUUGUUAUAUACCACCCAAAAUCCAGUCGCUAGCUGUACCCUUCUGCUUCCAUCUUUUUUAAAUAAAUGACCAGUUCUUUUGA